Paramisgurnus dabryanus is the source of this 1168-nucleotide long non-coding RNA. RefSeq lists it as uncharacterized. The record is from RefSeq and is a predicted model, not a curated record. Lineage: Eukaryota; Metazoa; Chordata; Actinopteri; Cypriniformes; Cobitidae.
UUUUGUAUUAUUUGAUUAACGUGGUUAAGUUUUACUUGUUUGACACAAAUGAACCAAAAUAAACAUUGCCAGAAUUGUCCACACUGAGUAUGGCUAAAAUUAGCUAAUAGGCUAAAAGGUACUUUGAACUUACACAUGUUAUACCAUAGUAUAAAGUAUAUUUAAUGAUAGAGUCAAAGUUAUUACUUUAGCUUAUAUAUGUAGCCUUUGAGAAUUUCUUUCAGAAAUUAAAACAUCUGAAAGAGAAAAGUUAUUUGGCAUGAUGGAAUGAUUUGAUUGCCUACACAUUGCACAUGUAAAAUGUUAAAUACUGUUCUGUAUUAAAAGCUCAGCAUAAGUGUUUGAUUAACUUCCUUUGCUUUUGUUUUGUACAAAGGAAGAGCAGAACCUAAUCCAAAUAAAAAUAAACAAGCUGUUAAAAGCCAGUUGAAGGUGGUCAACACAAACCAAAUGAAGAUGUUGCACAUUCCACAAACAAUAAAAAAAGAAGAUCAAGUUUUGUGUCCAACACACUUGGAUGAGACGUGCCCGACCCCUGACUUUGUCUACCCUACAUUAAGUUGUGAUGGCACACUUCAUGACAGUAAACAUCGGUAUCAAGAUGAUGUGAUUGAUCUAUACCCUAGAAUAAGCUGUGACACUAUGAGACGGUGACAUAAUGAACAGCCAUCUUCCAGACAACCGAAACAGUAUUGUCUACAAUACCAAAUUCUGGAUUGACGCCCCAGUACCAGAAGGCACUCCAAUCCCAGAGAGCAUCCCAUUGUGAGGUAACACAGCGAAAAAAUAACAGGAUGGAGACUACCUGAUUCUUCACCUAUGGCCUUAGCUUCAAAUGCAAGAAGUCCAGCAACUGUCUGAGCUGGUGGAUAUUCUAUCAGAGACUGCAUGAACAACGUUAUGAACAGAUGCUGUGAGGAGGUGGAGCCCAAAAGCCACGGACUCGGAAAUCGAUGCAGCUAUGGCAGACCACCUCAAGCACGCUCCAGGAAGAGAGCUAGGGGUUGUGAAUACAAAAAAUAAGCCAAACAGAUGUAAUGUGUUAGAAAAAAGUUCACACAAAAAUGAAAAUUGUUAUAAUUUUCUUACCCACGUGUUUCAAACCUGUAUACAUUUCUAUUUUUUGCUGAACACAAAGAUUGAAUAAUGUUUGUAACCAAGCAUUUCU